CUGCUGCCUUCCGUAGGAGUCUGGUCCGUGUCUCAGUACCAGUGUGGGGGACCUUCCUCUCAGAACCCCUACGCAUCGUCGCCUUGGUGGGCGUUACCCCGCCAACUAGCUAAUGCGCCGCAUGCCCAUCCGUCUCCGAUUAUUCUUUCAAAACCAGACGAUGCCGUCCAGCUUCAUACGGGGUAUUAGACGCCGUUUCCGACGAUUAUCCCCCUGAGACGGGCAGGUUGCAUACGUGUUACUCACCCGUGCGCCGGUUGCCGG
This 264-nucleotide ribosomal RNA is filed under the name uncultured bacterium. RNAcentral's name for it is "partial 16S ribosomal RNA". The record is from RNAcentral.